GUUCGAUUAUAGCUCAGAUUGAACGCUGGCGGGAUGCUUUACACGCAUGCAAGUCGAACGGCAACACGGACUUCGGUCUGGUGGCGGGUGGCGAACGGGUGAGUAAUGUAUCGGAACGUGCCCUAGUAGCGGGGGAUAACUACGCGAAAGCGUAGCUAAUACCACAUACGCCCUUCGGGGGAAAGCAGGGGGACCUUCGGGCCUCGCACUAUUAGAGCGGCCGAUAUCGGAUUAGCUAGUUGGUGGGGUAACGGCUCACCAAGGCGACGAUCCGUAGCUGGUUUGAGAGGACGACCAGCCACACUGGGACUGAGACACGGCCCAGACUCCCUCACGGGAGGCAGCAGUGGGGAAUUUUGGACAAUGGGGAAACCUGAUCGCCAUCCCACGGUGGUUCGGCAGGCCAUUCAGGCAUAAAACCUUUGGCAGAACGGCAUGGGAUAACCACUGUCGAACUGUGGUUUGCAGAUAAACGGCUUAACCAUGCCAGCGAUGCGGCAUGACCGGGUGCAGCGUUAUCGAAUUACUGGGCAUCAGCGUUGCAGGCAGUUAGAAAGGUGCGAAAUCCCAGAGCUUAACUUUGGAACUGCACAUUUUUAACUACCGAGCUAGAGUGUGUCAGAGGGGUGGAAUUCCGCGUGUAGCAGUGAAAUGCGUAGAUAUGCGGAGGAACACCGAUGGCGAAGGCAGCCUCCUGGGAUAACACUGACGCUCAUGCACCAGCAUUAAGGAGCAAACAGGAUUAGAUACCCUGGUAGUCCACGCCCUAAACGAUGUCAACUAGCUGUUGGGGCCUUCGGGCCUUGGUAGCGCAGCUAACGCGUGAAGUUGACCGCCUGGGAGUACGGUCGCAAGAUUAAAACUCGAGUCGGCUUGAGGGACCCGCACAAGCGGUGGAUGAUGUGGAUUAAUUCGAUGCAACGCGAAAAACCUUACCUACCCUUGACAUGUCUGGAAUCCCGAAGAGAGAUUUGGGAGUGCUCGCAAGAGAACCGGAACACCGGGUGCUGCAUGGCUGUCGUCAGCUCGUGUCGUGAGAUGUUGGGUUAAGUCCCGCAACAGGCACAACCCUUGUCAUUAGUUGCUCUACGAAAGGGCACUCUAAUGAGACUGCCGGUGACAAACCGGAGGAAGGUGGGGAUGACGUCAGAGUCCUCAUGGCCCCUAUGGGUAGGGCUUCACACGUCAUACAAUGGUCGGGACAGAGGGUCGCCAACCCGCGAGGGGAGCCAAUCCCAGAAACCCGAUCGUAGUCCGGAUCGCAGUCUGCAACUCGACUGCGUGAAGUCGGAAUCGCUAGUAAUCGCGGAUCAGCAUGUCGCGAGUGAAUACGUUCCGGGUCUUGUACACACCGCCCGUCACACCAUGGGAGUGGGUUUUACCAAGUAGUUAACCUAACCGUAAGGAGGGCGAUUACCACGGUAGGAUUCAUGACUGGGGUGAAGUCGUAACAAGGUAA
This 1459-nucleotide ribosomal RNA is filed under the name uncultured Bordetella sp. RNAcentral's name for it is "partial 16S-23S ribosomal RNA intergenic spacer". It matches the Rfam family "Bacterial small subunit ribosomal RNA". The record is from RNAcentral. Lineage: Bacteria; Pseudomonadati; Pseudomonadota; Betaproteobacteria; Burkholderiales; Alcaligenaceae.